CUGGCUCAGGAUGAACGCUGGCGGCGUGCUUAACACAUGCAAGUCGAACGGAGUUUUAACGGAAGUUUCGGAUGGAAGUUUAGAAACUUAGUGGCGGACGGGUGAGUAACGCGUGGGUAACCUGCCUCAUACAGGGGGAUAACAGUUAGAAAUGACUGCUAACACCGCAUAAUAUAGCGAAACCGCAUGAUUUUGCUAUCAAAUAUUUAUAGGUAUGAGAUGGGCCCGCGUCUGAUUAGCUAGUUGGUGGGGUAAAAGCCUACCAAGGCGACGAUCAGUAGCCGGCUUGAGAGAGUGACCGGCCACAUUGGGACUGAGACACGGCCCAAACUCCUACGGGAGGCAGCAGUGGGGAAUAUUGGACAAUGGGGGAAACCCUGAUCCAGCGAACCGCCGCGUGAGUGAAGAAGUAUUUCGGUAUGUAAAGCUCUAUCAGCAGGGAAGAUAAUGACAGUACCUGACUAAGAAGCCCCGGCUAACUACGUGCCAGCCGCUGC
RNAcentral lists this ribosomal RNA (497 nucleotides) under uncultured bacterium. RNAcentral describes it as "bacterial SSU rRNA". It matches the Rfam family "Bacterial small subunit ribosomal RNA", at positions 19 to 518 of the family's 1533-position model. The record is from RNAcentral.